Pelobates cultripes (western spadefoot toad) is the source of this 108-nucleotide non-coding RNA. The record is from the annotation of a GenBank genome assembly. Lineage: Eukaryota; Metazoa; Chordata; Amphibia; Anura; Pelobatidae.
GCAAAUAUAAGAAAAAAUUGUGCUUUAUUAAUCCAUGUGUGGUAUACAACAAAUUUUUGUUGUAUACCACACAUGGAUUAAUAAAGCACCAUUUUUUCUUAUAUUUGA